Molecule: ribosomal RNA, 253 nt
Filed under: uncultured bacterium
Lineage: Bacteria
Description: partial 16S ribosomal RNA
Rfam family: Bacterial small subunit ribosomal RNA
Source: RNAcentral
UAGGAAGGGGGCUAGCGUUGUUCGGAAUUACUGGGCGUAAAGCGCACGUAGGCGGGUUUGUAAGUAGGGGGUGAAAUCCCCGGGCUCAACCCGGGAACUGCCUUCUAGACUGCAAGCCUGGAGGUCAGGAGAGGCGAGUGGAAUUCCGAGUGUAGAGGUGAAAUUCGUAGAUAUUCGGAGGAACACCAGUGGCGAAGGCGACUCGCUGGACUGAUACUGACGCUGAGGUGCGAAAGCGUGGGGAGCAAACAGG